GGACACGUGGCACAAAUUUACUUAUCAAAAUCAUAUCAUCCGACGUCGAAUUGACUUUCUAAAAUGAUGUCUGACACUGAUAACUGAUACUAAAUUAAUCGAUUAAUGUGACAGAUAACUGUACCUGCCAACAUGACAAAAUAGCCGAUCACCCAUAUCUCAGAGAAAACGGCAUCAAAAUCGAAGCUCGAUGUGACAGAACUCUCUUCGUCCAACG
This 217-nucleotide long non-coding RNA is filed under the name Elaeis guineensis (African oil palm). RNAcentral describes it as "long non-coding RNA (EGUI_LNC071822)". Lineage: Eukaryota; Viridiplantae; Streptophyta; Magnoliopsida; Arecales; Arecaceae. The record is from RNAcentral.